CAGGAGUAAGUGAGAAGAGUGAGAUAAGAUUGUGCUUCUUUAUGCAGAUGAUGUAGUGGUCAUGAGUGAAUCAGCUGAGGCAGAGUUGCAAACUUUGUUGGAUGUUCUAGACAGGAGUUGUUGAUCCAAAAACCUGACUCUUGGAGCGAUCCUGAGCAGCCUGUAACAUCAAGAUAAGAAAUGGCAUGGGAUUAUCUGCAGAAUAAGCACAAUCAAGCUAGCUUUGGACAUUGAUGCCUUGCUUGUCUGGUUGAGAAUUGGUAUUCCCAGUUGUCAUGUCUGUAAAGAUGAAGAAAGUAUGGAGUACAAGAGGUUGAGAAGAAAUAUUGAGUAAGAUGAAGU
Molecule: long non-coding RNA, 342 nt
Organism: Portunus trituberculatus (swimming crab)
Lineage: Eukaryota; Metazoa; Arthropoda; Malacostraca; Decapoda; Portunidae
Exons: 3
Source: RefSeq, a predicted model, not a curated record